This is a long non-coding RNA of Dreissena polymorpha, 3166 nucleotides long. RefSeq lists it as uncharacterized. The transcript has 19 exons. The record is from RefSeq and is a predicted model, not a curated record. Lineage: Eukaryota; Metazoa; Mollusca; Bivalvia; Myida; Dreissenidae.
AUUCGAAAGUAGUGCCUAUUUCUAAAGAGUUCCUUUUCUCUUCUUGAAUAUAAGCCAUUUAACAAUGUGAGACAUGUCUUUUGUGGUUAUUUGUAAUAUCCUGUAUGUGCCUGGAGUACUUUGAUGCCUUGGAUUGGAAGCUAACUUAAAAGAUGAACUUUUGAGGGUGUGUUUUCUAUUGUGUGGGGCUUUUGUCGAAAUUAGGAUUCCGAAACGCGUUUUUCUACGGUGGGUUCAUUCGACAGCGAUUUACUUUCUUAGAAGUUGCGAGACGGUAUGUUUUUGAUUGCAAUUAUUGGAAGAUGACAGAUCCAUCUUUAAAAUUAUACCAGGUUCGGAAAAAUUGAUACGUCGGAAAGGCAAUAAAAAUGCUGUGAAAGUUGUCAGUUUUAUAAUGGGACCCUAUGGGAAUCGGAAUUAGUGUAAUAUAACCUUUAAAAAGCACAUUAACUGCAAUGUCAAGGUCACAUGGAUUCGUCUGCAAGCGAGACAAGUAGAAAAUGAAUUUUAAUGAAUGUUUUGAUGAUUUGGGUGCUAAAAUAGAUGAGAGAUGUCAAUAUUUUGGUCCAAAUGGAUGUUUUAGGUGGUUUUGGACUGUUCCGGAUGGGUGGGGGACCUGGUAUGGACAAGCCUGACCGUUUGUCCUUGAGCCGUAGAUGGUCAACAAUCCGCUAGCUGUCUUGCUCUGACUGGUGCACUGGACAUGAUUUCACUAGUUAGCCAGACCAUGAUUGAGCUUAAGGAUUGUGCUGCGGAUGCAGCCUGUGCAGUUCCGGGAGAAAGUCACUGUCUUGGGCAAUGCGGUCUGGUAUCAGGUCUGGAUGAUCCUUGCCUGACUGGGGGUUUGUGUACACCUCAAUCCGACUCUGUGUCCUGAACAGAGGCCGCAGUGGUGCAGCGCUUGUGGACGAUCCAUCAACAUCCUGAAAGGUCAACACUACACCAAGCUGGGAAAAUUGAUCCUGAUAGUCAUCCCCAGGCCUGACCGUUUGUCCUUGAGCCGUAGAUGGUCAACAAUCCGCUAGCUGUCUUGCUCUGACUGGUGCACUGGACAUGAUUUCACUAGUUAGCCAGACCAUGAUUGAGCUUAAGGAUUGUGCUGCGGAUGCAGCCUGUGCAGUUCCGGGAGAAAGUCACUGUCUUGGGCAAUGCGGUCUGGUAUCAGGUCUGGAUGAUCCUUGCCUGACUGGGGGUUUGUGUACACCUCAAUCCGACUCUGUGUCCUGAACAGAGGCCGCAGUGGUGCAGCGCUUGUGGACGAUCCAUCAACAUCCUGAAAGGUCAACACUACACCAAGCUGGGAAAAUUGAUCCUGAUAGUCAUCCCCAGGCCUGACCGUUUGUCCUUGAGCCGUAGAUGGUCAACAAUCCGCUAGCUGUCUUGCUCUGACUGGUGCACUGGACAUGAUUUCACUAGUUAGCCAGACCAUGAUUGAGCUUAAGGAUUGUGCUGCGGAUGCAGCCUGUGCAGUUCCGGGAGAAAGUCACUGUCUUGGGCAAUGCGGUCUGGUAUCAGGUCUGGAUGAUCCUUGCCUGACUGGGGGUUUGUGUACACCUCAAUCCGACUCUGUGUCCUGAACAGAGGCCGCAGUGGUGCAGCGCUUGUGGACGAUCCAUCAACAUCCUGAAAGGUCAACACUACACCAAGCUGGGAAAAUUGAUCCUGAUAGUCAUCCCCAGGCCUGACCGUUUGUCCUUGAGCCGUAGAUGGUCAACAAUCCGCUAGCUGUCUUGCUCUGACUGGUGCACUGGACAUGAUUUCACUAGUUAGCCAGACCAUGAUUGAGCUUAAGGAUUGUGCUGCGGAUGCAGCCUGUGCAGUUCCGGGAGAAAGUCACUGUCUUGGGCAAUGCGGUCUGGUAUCAGGUCUGGAUGAUCCUUGCCUGACUGGGGGUUUGUGUACACCUCAAUCCGACUCUGUGUCCUGAACAGAGGCCGCAGUGGUGCAGCGCUUGUGGACGAUCCAUCAACAUCCUGAAAGGUCAACACUACACCAAGCUGGGAAAAUUGAUCCUGAUAGUCAUCCCCAGGCCUGACCGUUUGUCCUUGAGCCGUGGAUGGUCAACAAUCCGCUAGCUGUCUUGCUCUGACUGGUGCACUGGACAUGAUUUCACUAGUUAGCCAGACCAUGAUUGAGCUUAAGGAUUGUGCUGCGGAUGCAGCCUGUGCAGUUCCGGGAGAAAGUCACUGUCUUGGGCAAUGCGGUCUGGUAUCAGGUCUGGAUGAUCCUUGCCUGACUGGGGGUUUGUGUACACCUCAAUCCGACUCUGUGUCCUGAACAGAGGCCGCAGUGGUGCAGCGCUUGUGGACGAUCCAUCAACAUCCUGAAAGGUCAACACUACACCAAGCUGGGAAAAUUGAUCCUGAUAGUCAUCCCCAGGCCUGACCGUUUGUCCUUGAGCCGUAGAUGGUCAACAAUCCGCUAGCUGUCUUGCUCUGACUGGUGCACUGGACAUGAUUUCACUAGUUAGCCAGACCAUGAUUGAGCUUAAGGAUUGUGCUGCGGAUGCAGCCUGUGCAGUUCCGGGAGAAAGUCACUGUCUUGGGCAAUGCGGUCUGGUAUCAGGUCUGGAUGAUCCUUGCCUGACUGGGGGUUUGUGUACACCUCAAUCCGACUCUGUGUCCUGAACAGAGGCCGCAGUGGUGCAGCGCUUGUGGACGAUCCAUCAACAUCCUGAAAGGUCAACACUACACCAAGCUGGGAAAAUUGAUCCUGAUAGUCAUCCCCAGGUAGUGGAAUGAAUGUACACUGAACUACAGAGGAAUCACACCCAAAUGACUUUCCUGCCACGACAUUAGUGUGGCCACUCGCGUAGGAAUUCCUUAGCAAACGUGCUCUUUUGCAUGGUGACUGUGGGCAUUUUUGCAAAACUUACGCUUUCAACACUGGAUUUUAAAGAGAAUACUUAAUAAAAUGUCGCUAACAGGACUUAUUUAUAUGAGAGAGACUAUCUGGAUGCGCAUUAAGUGUCACUUUGUGUCGUAAGCUGUUGAAGGAGCGCUUUGCGCCUUUUUAAGUGUUAAUUUUGGGUAGCCGGCUUGUAUCGGCUUGAAAGCUGCAAAUUAUGCCUCUCAUCAUAAUAGCAUUAAUUUUUGUAAUUGCAAUGUGUAUGUUUAGAUUGUAAGUGAAGCUUUUAAUAAUAAUUUUCUUAAAAAACAUGAUUUUA